CAAGACAGGCUCAUCGAAAUUUUCAUAGUGUUGCAUAUUUUUGUUUAAAUUAUUUGUAUUAUUAACGUAUUUUGUGAGUUUCUCUGUCUAGGUAUCCUUCACAGCUUCACCAGAUUUUCACGGCCAACGUGUGACGACCAAGGCAGGACCACCUGUGACGAGGACGACCAGGGUCCAGUCAAAUCUUUUUCUAUCUUGACGGGACAAACUUGGUUGAAGAGAUGCCGAGGAAGGGCAAGAGAUCACAGGCACAAAAAGUGCGCUGGUCAAAGCUCGACCUGGCAGAUCCAGCCACAGUCAGCCCACCCGGUCUUGGC
Molecule: non-coding RNA, 317 nt
Organism: Paralichthys olivaceus (Japanese flounder)
Lineage: Eukaryota; Metazoa; Chordata; Actinopteri; Pleuronectiformes; Paralichthyidae
Source: RefSeq, a predicted model, not a curated record